RNAcentral lists this long non-coding RNA (186 nucleotides) under Dermacentor andersoni. Its description in RNAcentral is "uncharacterized LOC126530592". Lineage: Eukaryota; Metazoa; Arthropoda; Arachnida; Ixodida; Ixodidae. The record is from RNAcentral.
CAGCCAUUCCAGCAAUCCCUUCAGAGCAGUCCACAGAGUCCAUGACAGCAGCAGCUGCUGCUGCCUUAGAAGCAUCUUUGUUGCCCACCGAACUGUCGCUACCUCCUGUGUAUGGUGACCAUACAUACAGCCAACCAAAGCCUGCAUUAGGACUGCCCCAAUUCCAAGACUUUGCCAAACCAGCAC